AGUAAAAGUCGUAACAAGGUUUCCGUAGGUGAACCUGCGGAAGGAUCAUUAACGAGUUUUGAAAUGGGUUGUAGCUGGCCUUUGAAAAAAUAGAAGGCAUGUGCACGCCCUGCUCAUCCACUCUCAUACCCCUGUGCACUUAUUGUAGGCUUGGGUGGGAUGAUCAACUGUAAGGUUGGUUUGAAAGCCUUUAGUCUAUGCUUUAUUACAAACUCUACAAAGUCAUAGAAUGUCACAUUAGCGUAUAACGCAAUAAAUACAACUUUCAGCAACGGAUCUCUUGGCUCUCGCAUCGAUGAAGAACGCAGCGAAAUGCGAUAAGUAAUGUGAAUUGCAGAAUUCAGUGAAUCAUCGAAUCUUUGAACGCACCUUGCACUCCUUGGUAUUCCGAGGAGCAUGCCUGUUUGAGUGUCAUGGUAUUCUCAACCUUUAAAGCUUUUUUUAAUCAAAAGGCAAUGAAGGCUUGGAAUUGGAGGUUUGUGUUGGCGCAAGUCAACUCUUCUGAAAUGCAUUAGUGUGAACCUUUACGGAUCACUGUCAGUGUGAUAAUUAUCUACACUGUGGUGUUGAAGUAUAUACAUGGUGUUCAUGCUUCUAACUGUCCUUUAUUGGACAUUGAUUUUUGACAAUCUGACCUCAAAUCAGGUAGGACUACCCGCUGAACUCAAGCAUAUCAAUAAGCGGAG
This 686-nucleotide ribosomal RNA is filed under the name uncultured fungus. Its description in RNAcentral is "eukaryotic LSU rRNA". The stretch from base 261 to 414 matches the Rfam family "5.8S ribosomal RNA". The record is from RNAcentral. Lineage: Eukaryota; Fungi.